GACGAACGCUGGCGGCGUGCCUAAUACAUGCAAGUAGAACGCUGAAGGAGGAGCUUGCUCUUAUGGAUGAGUUGCGAACGGGUGAGUAACGCGUAGGUAACCUGCCUGGUAGCGGGGGAUAACUAUUGGAAACGAUAGCUAAUACCGCAUAACAGUAGAUGUUGCAUGACAUUUACUUAAAAGGUGCAAUUGCAUCACUACCAGAUGGACCUGCGUUGUAUUAGCUAGUUGGUGGGGUAACGGCUCACCAAGGCGACGAUACAUAGCCGACCUGAGAGGGGUGUUCACCACACUAGCAAUGAGACAAGCCACGGACUGACUCGGGAGGUAGCAGUAGGGGUUGUUCGGCAACAGAAGGAAGUGUGACCGAGGAGCUCUGGGUGUGUGCAGAAUGUCGUCGCUGCGUAAAACACUUUUGUUGUAGAAGAACGAGUUGGUGAGUGGGAAGUUCACACUUUGACGGUAUCUGAUCAGAAAGUGACGGCUAACUACGUG
This 495-nucleotide ribosomal RNA is filed under the name uncultured bacterium. RNAcentral describes it as "partial 16S ribosomal RNA". It matches the Rfam family "Bacterial small subunit ribosomal RNA", at positions 28 to 507 of the family's 1533-position model. The record is from RNAcentral.